Molecule: long non-coding RNA, 771 nt
Organism: Trifolium pratense (red clover)
Lineage: Eukaryota; Viridiplantae; Streptophyta; Magnoliopsida; Fabales; Fabaceae
Exons: 3
Source: RefSeq, a predicted model, not a curated record
CAAAAACUCUUUUUCAUUCUUUUUUAAAAUUGCACGCCUUUCCAAAACAUGUGAGGCAUGCCUUUCCGAUUUCAACGUAUGCCCCUCUUUAUAUAUCUUCUUCACUCUUGUCUUCUACAACACUCCAUAUGAUCUCUCUCUCUCUCUCCAACAAUCGUUAUUCAUUCAAAACAUGUGAGGCAUGCCUUUCCAAUUUCAAUGUAUCCCUCUCUUUAUAUAUCUUGCUCACUAUCGCAUUCUACAACACUCCAUCUCUCUCUCUCUAAGAGUCCUUCUUCUUUCAAUUUUUUUUUAUUCCAAUGCAUCUUCAAAUAAGUAACUAUUUAGAUUCCCAAUUGAGUCUCAAUUACUUCAACUCUAAUAGGUUUUCUCAGAUCUAAGUUUUAAUUUACUCUCCAAUGUUUGAUUGUGUGGUUUUCAUUUCCCACAUCAAGUCAUUGAUAGUAAUUGCAAUCUCUUUGGAAGGGUUGUUGAUUGUAGUGUCAAUCGUGUCUUUAAGGAAGGACAACAGUUGAUUGCAUGUUUGUUGUUAUUCUUUAGCUAGUGCAACAAAAAAUAAAUCAAAUCAAGAUCUACUACUUUUAAUUGGUGCUAUGGCGGUGGUGGGCACACUCAUCAAGUUAGUGCUAUGCCUUAUACAAUGUGGAGAGGAAAAGCGACUCUUAAUUCUUCAAAAGUAGAGCAUUGUUCUUUUUUAAGGAAUACAUCUACCAAUGCAUUUCCUCUAUGUUUUUUAACACCUUUAAUUUGUUUUUCUAUUACCAUUACCGG